GGAUUUCUACCCAGCUGGUUACAAUCGAUUCGAAUCGCCGUCUCUCCCGAAUAGUGAAAAAGUUGAGGAGCUUCCAACAUCGUAGUAUUCUGAUGAAAGAUGAUGGUUCUGUGGAUUAUUUUUAUAAGCUGGAUAUGGUUAUUAUUGUAAUGCUCCAAACUUAGUCUUAAAUAGCUUCACUAAACUUGAUGCUAAAAUAUUGAAUAAAAUAUUGAAAGUAAGGACUCAGGAUAGUUAUGCUCUUU
RNAcentral lists this long non-coding RNA (245 nucleotides) under Setaria italica (foxtail millet). RNAcentral's name for it is "long non-coding RNA (SITA_LNC003776)". Lineage: Eukaryota; Viridiplantae; Streptophyta; Magnoliopsida; Poales; Poaceae. The record is from RNAcentral.